GACGACAAGACCCUAAAAGCUUUAUAUAUAAAAUUGUUUGCUGGGGCAGUAGACUUAAAUAAAUUAAGUUAAAGAAUUAUCUUUUGAGGUAUUUGAUCCUUAAAAUUAGGAUAAAUGGAGUUAGUUACUUUAGGGAUAACAGCGUAAUUAUUUUGGAGAGUUCUUAUCGAUAAAGUAGAUUGCGACCUCGAUGUUGAAUUAGGAUAUCUUUGAGACGCAAAAGGUUCAAAAGAUGGUUUGUUCAACCAAUAAUUUUCUACAUGAUCUGAGA
This 271-nucleotide ribosomal RNA is filed under the name Bactrurus pseudomucronatus. RNAcentral's name for it is "partial 16S ribosomal RNA". The stretch from base 135 to 271 matches the Rfam family "Bacterial large subunit ribosomal RNA", at positions 2473 to 2610 of the family's 2925-position model. The record is from RNAcentral. Lineage: Eukaryota; Metazoa; Arthropoda; Malacostraca; Amphipoda; Crangonyctidae.